CCUACGGGUGGCAGCAGUGAGGAAUAUUGGUCAAUGGACGAAAGCCUGAACCAGCCAAGUAGCGUUCAGGAUGACGGCCCUACGGGUUGUAAACUGCUUUUAUACGGGAAUAACGCGCCUUACGUUUAGGGCUUUGCAUGUCCCGUAUGAAUAAGGACCGGCUAAUUCCGUGCCUGCAGCCGCGGUAAUACGGAAGGUCCGGGCGUUAUCCGGAUUUAUUGGGUUUAAAGGGGGCGUAGGCCGCAUGUCAAGCGUGCUGUGAAAUGUCCGGGCUCAACCCGGGCCUUGCAGCGCGAACUGGCGUGCUUGAGUCCGCGGAAAGCAGGCGGAAUUCGUCGUGUAGCGGUGAAAUGCUUAGAUAUGACGAAGAACCCCGAUUGCGAAGGCAGCUUGCUGCAGCGGAACUGACGCUGAUGCUCGAAAGCGCGGGUAUCGAACAGGAUUAGAUACCCGGGUAGUC
RNAcentral lists this ribosomal RNA (460 nucleotides) under uncultured bacterium. RNAcentral's name for it is "partial 16S ribosomal RNA". It matches the Rfam family "Bacterial small subunit ribosomal RNA", at positions 338 to 795 of the family's 1533-position model. The record is from RNAcentral.